Molecule: non-coding RNA, 72 nt
Organism: Phrynosoma platyrhinos (Desert horned lizard)
Lineage: Eukaryota; Metazoa; Chordata; Lepidosauria; Squamata; Phrynosomatidae
Source: the annotation of a GenBank genome assembly
GACAGUGUGGUGUAGUGGUUUGAGUGUUGGACAACGACUCUGGAGACCAGGGUUCGAUUCCCAGCUCAGCCA